CACACAGCACGCUAGUUUAAAAGGGCUUAUUACCUUCCCUCACUCAGGGGCUCUGAUUCAGCAGUUCUCAUUGAACAUUUAGGAACUCAACUGCUCUUGUCCUUCCAGAUGUCAGCUGCUUGUCCUCUAUCCAAUUCUAUGUGAAAAUACAACAGAAACUUAUGGCAGAGAAUUACUGUGUAGUUACCAAGUCCUAUUUUAUUUUCCCUCUAGAAACACAGACCACAUUUCCCUCUGGCCUUAAAAUCAGUUGAACUAUGGAACUGAUUUCUGGACAGGAGUGAUCAAUGUCACACCCAGGCCAGGCCCAUAAGAAGACCCAGGCAAUCCUCUUUGCCCUCAACCUUUUCUCAUUUAUCAGCCAGAUGUAGACCAUGCAGAAGACAAUCUGAGAACACUGGAGAUAAGGGAAUUACUCAGUGCAAGGAGCUUCUACCUCUAAGUGACUGCCUGGGGCAGGUGCCCUGGCUCCAACAUGCUCUGGUCCAAAAAAAAAAAGAUAGGCCCUUCAUUGGCUGCUAAGUGUGGCCACCAUGUCCCAGGAUGGCUCAAAACCUCAAGGUGUGAUACGCAGAGCACAAGAACGUGCAUGUGACUGAGACAUUGUCCCUGCCCCGAGCAUCUCACAGACCAGUGAUAGAGGCAAAUACAAACAAGUGCAAAGUGUCUCUGGUAGAAGUAAACCAAAGAAAUGUGGAGUCUAUCCACACCACAGAGUGGACAGAAUAAUGGGCUUUAAUG
Long non-coding RNA from Pan paniscus (pygmy chimpanzee), 741 nucleotides. The record is from Ensembl. Lineage: Eukaryota; Metazoa; Chordata; Mammalia; Primates; Hominidae.